GUCGAGACGACAUCGCUUCGGGCAUGAGUGGCAGCACGGGUGCAGUAACAGCGUGGGAACUCGUAGCCCUUGUGGUUCGGAACUAACUCGCUGUAGAAAUUGAGCGUAGCUAAUACCGGAUAAUCGACUGUAAGUCGCGAAAGAGUUUAUCGCCCAGAGGGAUCGAGGCCCGCGUCUGAUUAGCUAGUUGGUGGGGUAAACGGCCUACCAAGUGCGACGAUCCAUUAGCUGGUCUGAGAGGAUGAUCAGCCACACUGGGACUGAGGACACGGCCCAGACUCCUACGGGAGGCAGCAGUGGGGAAUAUUGGACAAUUGGGCUGACAAGCCUGAUCCAGCACAUUGCCGCGUGAGUGAUGAAGGCCUUAGGGU
This 371-nucleotide ribosomal RNA is filed under the name uncultured bacterium. RNAcentral's name for it is "bacterial SSU rRNA". It matches the Rfam family "Bacterial small subunit ribosomal RNA", at positions 70 to 423 of the family's 1533-position model. The record is from RNAcentral.